Molecule: long non-coding RNA, 1653 nt
Organism: Cucumis sativus (cucumber)
Lineage: Eukaryota; Viridiplantae; Streptophyta; Magnoliopsida; Cucurbitales; Cucurbitaceae
Exons: 3
Source: RefSeq, a predicted model, not a curated record
GAAUAGGCUUCUCUUGAACAAAACUAUUCUUCUUUCAAUUGUGUUGAAGAAACAGAAUAAUAAUGUGUUUGGCCAAGUUUGGUCCCUUCAUCUGCAUUUGCACCUGCACCUUAUUCAACUUCUCUUUUCUUUCUCCACCAACAUAGGAAAAGGGUUUUUUCUUUACUUUGAAAUAACUUAAUUAGCCCUUUAAGUACUCUUUUAAGUACUCUUUCAUGAAUAUGAAGAACGAAAAGGUGAGAGAAAAAAAGGAUCAAUGAUCAAAGGUGCUGGUGCAUUUGCAGCUGAAUGCCAUCUUGGAAAACCCUAUAACUUUAGGGCUUUACCUUUUCUUCUCCAACUUCUUAUCAAAACCUACAAAAUUGGAUCCAACAUAUCACCAAACCCCCUCUUAAUUAUAUUAUUUAUUUUUCUUCGUUUCUCUCUCAACUCUAGUUUUAUUACUCGCUCAUCUAAAAUUCCCUACCUUAUCUUUUUACUCUCUAGAUGUCUUUCCUUGGAUUUCCUCUUUCGCAACAACAAUAAUUCUCUCAUCUCUCUCUGUGUUCCUCUUUUGGAGAUGACAACAACGACAGCGAGCAGAGAUGUGUUGUGUUAGAAACGUAUCAAGGUUUCAGAUGCGAAAGUGAUCAAGAUCAACACAAGGUUAGGCAGACAAAUUCCAUUCUUGUUUUGAUUGUUUAAGUUGUUCCUCAUUCUUGAUACGGGAGCUUCACGGACCGACGCCUCCAAGCAUGAUGGAUUCCAUCAACACUCCUUCCUCGACUCAAAUUGAAACUGAACCCACUACCAACCAAGAAAUUCAACUUGACCCGAAUAGAUAUCAAGUUUGGUCUGGUACUAUGCCAGUCGGAACUCUAGAAUUCACCAAUCUUUUAAACCAAGUCAAAACCACCAAGCUCGACAAAGGAAACUUCUCUUUCUGAAAAAGCAUUGCAUUGUCCAUUCUAAGAAGCCACAAGCUUGAGGGCCAUCUGAUGGGGAAAACAACAUCCUUAGAGCAAUGAAUUAUUAUACCUCCAUGCGAAGAUGAACCUAUGGUACUUCUUCGUAAUCCUGAAUAUGACAUCUGGUUGGCUGCUGACUAACUCCUUGUAGGGUGGUUAUACAAUUCGAUGAUCCCUGGCACCAUUGCUACUCAGGUCAAGGGAAAAGAUGAAGUUAAGAUUUUGUGGGACUCGAUCUAACAAUACUUUUGGAAUUCACUCAAGAUUUCAAGAGAACUUCAACUGUCAUGUUGCAGAGAACAAGGAAAGUCAACUCCAAAAUGGAAGACUAUGUAUCUACAAUGAAAGGUUACUUCGAUAGCCUACAAAUGGCUGGUUAUCCCAUGGAUAUGCACAUUCACAUCAUAAUUACCCCAUCCAUGUUUGUUUGCUCGAUAAAAGCAUGUAUGGCCUUAAACCUGCACCAUGUGUGCAUGGUAUGAUCGUUUUGCCGCAAACUUAUUAACUCUUGUUAGAAAUUAAUAAGUUCCUAGAUACAUUUCUAAUUUCAAGAUACAUGUAAUUAUUCAAGUACAUGAAUGAUAUGUAUGCAUGUACUUUAUUUAUUUCAUUGUUCAAAUACAUGAAUGAUAUGUACAUGUACUUUAUUUAUUUUUUGUCUUUUAAGAAGUAUCUCUUCUACUAUAUAAAGAGUUCACUUCUUUUA